GAGGGGAGAGAGAGAGAAAAAAACAAGCAAACAGUGCAGAAGAUGGUGCUAGAAGGAGAGAUUAAAAAAAGAAUUACUUAUAAUAAGAAUGCAUAAAUUCCCAUCCAAGAGUUACAGGAUAUGCAUGAAGGUAUAUGUGCAUGUGUGUAAGUGUGAGCGUGUGUCUGUGUAUGCUGGAUAUAGGCCUUCAUGCAUAUCCUGUAACUCUUGGAUGGGAAUUCAUGCAUUCUAAUUAUAAGUAAUUCUUAUUUUCUUUUUUUACUCUCUCCUUCUAGCACCAUCUUCUGCACUGUUUGCUUGUUUUUUUCUAUCUCUCCUCCCUCA
This 324-nucleotide microRNA precursor is filed under the name Pelobates cultripes (western spadefoot toad). Lineage: Eukaryota; Metazoa; Chordata; Amphibia; Anura; Pelobatidae. The record is from RNAcentral.